UUAAGGGUCACGAGUAUUUCGGCCUUAGAGAGCUGAUACGCGGGACAUCCCGUCGAACGUCCGUUGACGUGACAUUGGGCAACACAACCACUGAAGCGUGAUUCAUGAUGAGUCGAUGGCCGGCAUUUUCCUUUGGUCACUUCCUCAUUGUUAGGUUAUGUACAACAUUCUCAUGCUCACGUAUACUAUACCAGGUGCCUAAUAACACAUUUUUGGGAUUCACGUUUAACAACUCGAAUGUACGUUUCCCCGUACGUUCACAUAACAUUAGGUAUUAACCAAUGCCCAGAGUAACUGAUACAAGUUCGAUUUAUCUCAAUGUUUAUAUUUAUCACUAGAAUAUUAAAUGACGCAAUCCCUCAGAUGCGCAAUUCACAGAAAUUAACACAAGUUUACAUACUUCAUCACGAUUUCGAUAUGCACCAUUUAGGGAAUUGUAAAGUCCCGGUCUCCGUUUAUCUUAGUGUAUAAAAACUUAGUUCAGUAGUCAUAAUACUUCAUAAUUCAUUGUCACGUACCUUUGAGUACUUGUAAAUACUAGUUGGAAGUAAUUAGAAUCAUGAAGUUCACUAAAGUACUUGUAAUUUUUAUUGUUGUGAUUGCAUUACUGGUGCCAUCUGAGGCAGCCCCAGGAAAAAUACCAGUUGGCGCUAUCAAAAAAGCGGGGAGAGCAAUUGGCAAAGGACUCCGGGCCAUCAACAUAGCGAGCACGGCGCAUGAUGUCUACACAUUCUUCAAGCCAAAAAAGAGGCAUUAAAUAUAUAUAUUUUUUAAAUCUACCAAAGAGUUACUUAAGGUUAAUUUAAAAGUAAAUGUUUUACUCCAUAACAUUUUGAUAAUGUCUAGUCUAAGUCUCGUCAUGUCAAAUAUCUAUAAUACAUGUAUUGUACAUUA
Helicoverpa zea (corn earworm) is the source of this 894-nucleotide long non-coding RNA. RefSeq lists it as uncharacterized. The record is from RefSeq and is a predicted model, not a curated record. The transcript is spliced from 2 exons. NCBI's taxonomy places the organism in Eukaryota, Metazoa, Arthropoda, Insecta, Lepidoptera, Noctuidae.